UGAGAUAGAGGAUGCGCCUCAGUGAUCAGUAAUUUCUUCAGACAGGCCCUGCAGGACCGGAGGGACGAAAGGCACGGGCGCCGAAGACGGUAUUCGCUGCAGAGUUUUCCGGGCUGGGAGGCAGAAAUAAGAUUCUGUCGACUGUCGCAUAGUUUUUAUGCGGAGAGCUAUCC
This 173-nucleotide non-coding RNA is filed under the name uncultured Eubacterium sp. Its description in RNAcentral is "Lysine riboswitch". It matches the Rfam family "Lysine riboswitch aptamer". Rfam says of the family: Riboswitches are metabolite binding domains within certain messenger RNAs that serve as precision sensors for their corresponding targets. Allosteric rearrangement of mRNA structure is mediated by ligand binding, and this results in modulation of gene expression. This family includes riboswitches that sense lysine in a number of genes involved in lysine metabolism, including lysC. The record is from RNAcentral. Lineage: Bacteria; Bacillati; Bacillota; Clostridia; Eubacteriales; Eubacteriaceae.